GACGAACGCUGGCGGCGUGCCUAACACAUGCAAGUCGAACGGAGAAUUUUAUUUCGGUAGAAUUCUUAGUGGCGAACGGGUGAGUAACGCGUAGGCAACCUGCCCUUUAGACGGGGACAACAUUCCGAAAGGAGUGCUAAUACCGGAUGUGAUCAUCUUGCCGCAUGGCAUGAUGAAGAAAGAUGGCCUCUACAAGUAAGCUAUCGCUAAAGGAUGGGCCUGCGUCUGAUUAGCUAGUUGGUAGUGUAACGGACUACCAAGGCGAUGAUCAGUAGCCGGUCUGAGAGGAUGAACGGGCCACAUUGGGACUGAGACACGGCCCAAACUCCUACGGGAGGCAGCAGUGGGGAAUCUUCGCAAUGGACGAAAGUCUGACGGAGCAACGCCGCGUGAGUGAUGAAGGGAUUUCGGGUCUGGUAAAGCUCUGUUGUUUAUGACGAACGUGCAGUGUGUGAACAAUGCAUUUGCAAAUGACGGGUA
Molecule: ribosomal RNA, 480 nt
Filed under: uncultured bacterium
Lineage: Bacteria
Description: bacterial SSU rRNA
Rfam family: Bacterial small subunit ribosomal RNA
Source: RNAcentral